RNAcentral lists this ribosomal RNA (253 nucleotides) under uncultured bacterium. Its description in RNAcentral is "partial 16S ribosomal RNA". It matches the Rfam family "Bacterial small subunit ribosomal RNA", at positions 524 to 776 of the family's 1533-position model. The record is from RNAcentral.
UACGUAGGUGGCAAGCGUUACCCGGAUUUAUUGGGCGUAAAGGGAACGCAGGCGGUCUUUUAAGUCUGAUGUGAAAGCCUUCGGCUUAACCGGAGUAGUGCAUUGGAAACUGGGAGACUUGAGUGCAGAAGAGGAGAGUGGAACUCCAUGUGUAGCGGUGAAAUGCGUAGAUAUAUGGAAGAACACCAGUGGCGAAAGCGGCUCUCUGGUCUGUAACUGACGCUGAGGUUCGAAAGCGUGGGUAGCAAAUAGG